GCGGGGAAAAGCUCAAAUUUAAAAUCUGGCGGUCUUGGCCGUCCGAGUUGUAGUCUGGAGAAGCGUCUUCCGCGCUGGACCGUGUACAAGUCUCUUGGAACAGAGCGUCAUAGAGGGUGAGAAUCCCGUCUUUGACACGGACUACCAGUGCUUUGUGAUGCGCUCUCAAAGAGUCGCGUUGUUUGGGAAUGCAGCGCAAAAUGGGAGGUGAAUUCCUUCUAAAGCUAAAUAUUGGCGAGAGACCGAUAGCGAACAAGUACCGUGAGGGAAAGAUGAAAAGCACUUUGGAAAGAGAGUUAAACAGUACGUGAAAUUGCUGAAAGGGAAACGCUUGAAGUCAGUCGCGUCGUCCGGAACUCAGCCUUGCUUCGGCUUGGUGCACUUUCCGGUUGACGGGCCAGCAUCGAUUUUGACCGCUGGAAAAGGGCUGGAGGAAUGUGGCACCUUCGGGUGUGUUAUAGCCUUCAGUCGCAUACAGCGGUUGGGAUCGAGGAACGCAGCGCGCCUUAUGGCUGGGGUUCGCCCACAUUCGCGCUUAGGAUGCUGGCAUAAUGGCUUUAAACGACCCGUCUUGAAACACGGACCAAGGAGUCUAACAUGCCUGCGAGUGUUUGGGUGGAAAACCCGAGCGCGUAAUGAAAGUGAAAGUUGAGACCUCUGUCGUGGAGGGCAUCGACGCCCGGACCUGAAGUUUUCUGACGGAUCCGCGGUAGAGCAUGUAUGUUGGGACCCGAAAGAUGGUGAACUAUGCCUGAAUAGGGUGAAGCCAGAGGAAACUCUGGUGGAGGCUCGUAGCGAUUCUGACGUGCAAAUCCGAUCGUCAAAUUUGGGUAU
RNAcentral lists this ribosomal RNA (834 nucleotides) under Trametes villosa. RNAcentral's name for it is "partial large subunit ribosomal RNA". It matches the Rfam family "Eukaryotic large subunit ribosomal RNA", at positions 97 to 918 of the family's 3401-position model. Lineage: Eukaryota; Fungi; Basidiomycota; Agaricomycetes; Polyporales; Polyporaceae. The record is from RNAcentral.